AAUACCCAAUGGGAAGAGGUUGAAGACACACUUGUUUCUGAUGCUCUGGAAAUGUUGAGGGCCAUUUUAUAGCCAGUGAUUUUUAAUAUGCAGUAGAUUUGUUAGACUUAAACACCAGCUGGGGAAAAUCAAGGAAUUGGGGGCGGGGGGGAAGGUUUGGGAGAGAUCUAAAAUGAUUUCUCAUGGCACUAUGAUGUACACGACGUUGUUUUUCAGAGGUUCCACUGGAGUGGGAAGAAUUCCAUGAAAGAUCAUUUUAAAACUUAUUUUGAGUUAAACCUUGAUCCUUUUUUUUUUUCAAUAUACUAGACUUUGACACACUGCCUCUUGAGACUAGCAGAAUCUACUAUUCCAUAUACAUAAUAGAGCAUACUUUUUCUAUAAUCAGGUACCUUUUGCUGCUUUGGGAUAAGACUGUUUUCCUGUUUAGAUUUUAAGCAUUGCCAGAGAGAAGAAGCUGUUCUGUUCUUUUGAU
RNAcentral lists this long non-coding RNA (475 nucleotides) under Bos taurus (domestic cattle). RNAcentral's name for it is "long non-coding RNA NONBTAT010798". The record is from RNAcentral. Lineage: Eukaryota; Metazoa; Chordata; Mammalia; Artiodactyla; Bovidae.